This 497-nucleotide ribosomal RNA is filed under the name uncultured bacterium. RNAcentral's name for it is "partial 16S ribosomal RNA". It matches the Rfam family "Bacterial small subunit ribosomal RNA", at positions 28 to 507 of the family's 1533-position model. The record is from RNAcentral.
GACGAACGCUGGCGGCGUGCCUAAUACAUGCAAGUAGAACGCUGAAGAGAGGAGCUUGCUCUUCUUGGAUGAGUUGCGAACGGGUGAGUAACGCGUAGGUAACCUGCCUUGUAGCGGGGGAUAACUAUUGGAAACGAUAGCUAAUACCGCAUAACAAUGGAUGACACAUGUCAUUUAUUUGAAAGGGGCAAUUGCUCCACUACAAGAUGGACCUGCGUUGUAUUAGCUAGUAGGUGAGGUAAUGGGUCACCUAGGCGACGAUACAUAGCCGACCUGAGAGGGUGAUCGGCCACGCUGGGACUGGGACACGGCCCAGAAUCCUGCGGGAGGCAGCAGGAGGGAAUCUUCGGGAAUGGGGGCAACCCUGACCGAGGAACGCCGGGCGAGUGAAGAAGGUUGUCGGGUCGUAAAGGUCUGUUGUAAGUCAAGAACGGGUGUGAGAGUGGAAAGUUCACACUGUGACGGUAGCUUACCAGAAAGCGACGGCUAACUACGUG